RNAcentral lists this long non-coding RNA (1051 nucleotides) under Salmo salar (Atlantic salmon). RNAcentral's name for it is "lncRNA (ENSSSAG00000106534.1)". The record is from RNAcentral. Lineage: Eukaryota; Metazoa; Chordata; Actinopteri; Salmoniformes; Salmonidae.
UUAGGACUAGGCUAAUUCUACUUAAAUUAAUCCGAUGUAAAAAAUUGCUUCCUGAGAUGUUACUUAACUUCAGAUUAAUUAGUUCUAGACUAAUGAGUUCCAGACUAAGGUAAGUAAGGACUAACCAGUUCAUCUUUGUAAAGCCUAAUUAAAUUAACGAUGUGCACUUGGUGCUGACCUGAGGAUUCUUCAAAAACCAGGGAUGGGACACUAAUAGAUAAGCAUUGUGUGGAAUUGGAGCAAGUCACCUAAACCAAACAAUGGACUGAGAACAAAGAGCAUGGUUCAUCAACAGAAAACAAGAAAAAUAAUGCAUGGACCACCAUUUGGAAUGAAUUCAACUCAAAUGAAAAAGUAAACAGAAGGACGCUACAACAACAUCAGGUCCUGUAGAAAAACAUAAAAUAAACUUAAAGAAGACAAAUGCUGUUGCUUGUAGGGAGCGUUUCAAGACUGGUAAGACCAGAGACAGUUGAGCUUGGGGACUUGUUGACUGGGAUCAUUGAUAGCCAGCAACCCCUGGACGGUAUCCCUGAUAAUGACCAUUUGCACAGUUGAGAUAGGGGACCGUUCCAAUCUUCGUUUGGUAGGACACAUUAAUUUAAUAUGUAAUGUUGUCAGUCAACUCAUGCACUCCCAUAAUAAAAAUGUAACUCUUGAAGAAAUAAUGUUCUCUAAUGCAGCAAUGCAAUAAUUUUCUAGAGGCAGAUGAUCACCAUAGCUUAUUGGGGAUAAUACAGGAUGAAGGUCAGCCCACUACAUCUGCAGAAGCAAGGAGGGAAGAUUGUGUCACUAACUCAGGCCGGAGGACAAAGACAAAGAGGCUGAGCAUGCAUGAGAAACUGACCAUGGAAUUUCAUGAGCGCAAACUAAUGUAUUUAAAAGAAGAGCAUGAUAUGAAGAUGCAAAUCCUUCAUGUUUUGUUGGUUAUGAAUGAGGAGGAGAGAAACAUGAAGCACCAGCAGUACCAAUGUUUUUCUUGAACCAGCACCAGUUCGAGGUCCUGAUAUUUCCACUUGGGCUAUCUUUGUUGUGAGAAGUACUGCAUAGC